UGGGGGAUAUUGCACAAUGGGCGAAAGCCUGAUGCAGCGACGCCGCGUGGGGGAUGAAGGCCUUCGGGUUGUAAACUUCUUUUGCUCUGAACAAGGCAUGCCAAUGGGUGUGUUGAGUGUAGGGGUUGAUUAGCGCCGGCUAACUACGUGCCAGCAGCCGCGGUAAUACGUAGGGCGCGAGCGUUGUCCGGAAUUAUUGGGCGUAAAGGGCUUGUAGGUGGCUGGUUGCGUCUGUCGUGAAAGCUCAUGGCUUAACUGUGGGUUUGCGGUGGGUACGGGCUGGCUUGAGUGCAGUAGGGGAGGCUGGAAUUCCUGGUGUAGCGGUGGAAUGCGCAGAUAUCAGGAGGAAUACCGGUGGCGAAGGCGGGUCUCUGGGCUGUUACUGACACUGAGGAGCGAAAGCAUGGGGAGCGAACAGG
This 419-nucleotide ribosomal RNA is filed under the name Bacteroidota bacterium. RNAcentral's name for it is "Bacteroidetes bacterium partial 16S ribosomal RNA". It matches the Rfam family "Bacterial small subunit ribosomal RNA", at positions 355 to 776 of the family's 1533-position model. The record is from RNAcentral. RNAcentral also lists the same sequence under 2 other names. Lineage: Bacteria; Pseudomonadati; Bacteroidota.